This 99-nucleotide signal recognition particle RNA is filed under the name Streptococcus equi subsp. zooepidemicus. It matches the Rfam family "Bacterial small signal recognition particle RNA". From Rfam's summary of the family: The signal recognition particle (SRP) is a universally conserved ribonucleoprotein involved in the co-translational targeting of proteins to membranes. Lineage: Bacteria; Bacillati; Bacillota; Bacilli; Lactobacillales; Streptococcaceae. The record is from RNAcentral.
CAAUAGAGGUGGAGCAACACUUGUGCGUGAAGUGGGUCAGGGGAGGAAUCCAGCAGCCCUAAGCGAUAUCGGGUGUGUGCUCUUUUUUUAUUUUCAAAU